RNAcentral lists this transfer RNA (63 nucleotides) under Discolomatinae sp. GENSP01. RNAcentral's name for it is "tRNA-Glu". The record is from RNAcentral. Lineage: Eukaryota; Metazoa; Arthropoda; Insecta; Coleoptera; Discolomatidae.
AUUUAUAUAGUUUAAAAAAAACAUUAUAUUUUCAAUAUAAAAAUAGACAAAUUCUUUUAAAUU